GAUCAUGGCUCAGGAUGAACGCUAGCUACAGGCUUAACACAUGCAAGUCGAGGGGCAGCGGGAUUGAAGCUUGCUUCAAUUGCCGGCGACCGGCGCACGGGUGAGUAACGCGUAUCCAACCUUCCGCUUACUCGGGGAUAGCCUUUCGAAAGAAAGAUUAAUACCCGAUGGUAUCUUAAGCACGCAUGAGAUUAAGAUUAAAGAUUUAUCGGUGAGCGAGUGGGAUGUCGUUCC
This 234-nucleotide ribosomal RNA is filed under the name uncultured bacterium. Its description in RNAcentral is "partial 16S ribosomal RNA". It matches the Rfam family "Bacterial small subunit ribosomal RNA", at positions 15 to 239 of the family's 1533-position model. The record is from RNAcentral.